GGGCAGGUGCCCGAGUGGCUAAAGGGGACGGUCUGUAAAAUCGUUGCGGAAGCUACGCAGGUUCGAAUCCUGCCCUGCCCA
This 81-nucleotide transfer RNA is filed under the name Armatimonadota bacterium. RNAcentral's name for it is "Armatimonadetes bacterium (groundwater metagenome) tRNA-Tyr". It matches the Rfam family "tRNA". Rfam says of the family: Transfer RNA (tRNA) molecules are approximately 80 nucleotides in length. The record is from RNAcentral. Lineage: Bacteria; Bacillati; Armatimonadota.